GCAUCUUCUUAAAAGUAAACUAGUUAUAAGUGACUGAACCAAAGAGAACAGAUUACAAAAGAAAAACAGGAUAGGAUGGAUCAUGAUAUCAAUGGGGUUCAUGUGUUGACAUCUUGUGCUGCUGAGAUUACCUGCUCCUCAGAAAAGUGAAAGAAUUAAAGCAAGGAUCUGCUACAUUCACAGUCUGUUUAGGGAAGAUAUAGAUUUUCUCUGCUUUGGAGUUCCAGAGGACAAAACUCAGAGACCAGAGAUAAAGGGGAUUGGUUUGCCAAUCACAGAAGCUGUAGAGCGCGUCUCCUGGUGAGGAAGCACUAAUAUCUUCCUCUUAUGUCCAUACUGAGGCACUGCGGGAAUGAGUAACAGGAGAAUCCCAUACCGACCUCAGCCCAAGACAAGUAGUCAGACCCAGCUCUAUUUGCAGUAAAUGCACUUCAUAGACUGUUUUUAAAGAAAAGAUUCAAUAAAAAUAACAAUAAUAGUAUCAAGAGUAAAUAUAAAUCCAGAAGGGUGGAUCCACUAUCUGAGAAAGCAACAUUGACAAACAGCUACAAGGAUCUAGGGGAGGACCCUUUAACACCCAGGGUGGAAGGAAGUGCUCUUGAUUUCUAUGGAGCUGGACCUAAAUUGAAAGGAGUUGUAGUCUUAGAAGCAGAUUUUCUGAUACAAAGAUUGUCAAAUUCAUUGCUUCGUAACAUCUCAUAAAACCUGCUUUGUGUUUACUCCAAUAUUUAUGUAUGCAUGAGAGCCUCAGUUCUUUGAGGUGAAGAAAAUUUCUGUAGUGGUACGCAUGGUGGUUUUGAAAGAAAAGCCUUGAGGAGAAUCGCUUACUGGUGGCUUGAUAAGCAUCAGGAAAUGUAUAAAAGAGAAAUUUCUUCCGGUGGAAAGAAUUGAUUAAAUAAAAAUUUAACAAGUGGCACCUAUUCCGUGCACCUCCUUGAUGCAGAGGAAAUGGGCAUCUAUAUACAGUUCUGUAGUCCCUCUAAUAUUCGGAGAAGUGGAG
Long non-coding RNA from Heterocephalus glaber (naked mole-rat), 1000 nucleotides. Lineage: Eukaryota; Metazoa; Chordata; Mammalia; Rodentia; Bathyergidae. The record is from Ensembl.